GACUUCAGCGCUCGUGGUUCUAUUCAAGCAGUCAUAUGGUUGAAAUGUCUUUGGGAUGUAGUCCUCUAAGGGAGAGCCAUUUUUAGAAGAGAUUGAUUUGUUAUUUUUUUUUUUUUAAUUUGGAAAUCCUUCAGUGGAAGAAUGGUGAGAAAAUACAAGCUAUUUCCAGAAGCAUCCCUGGUCCAGUUGCCUCCAAAAGAUUUUUGUCAUCAAUCCAAGUUUGUGCUGUUACCAUGUCCUCCUCAUAGGAUAGCACCAUUGUGGGAUCGAGGUCACCCAUCCAGGGCUCAGCAGGGAUCAUUCAAACAGCAGGCCCCAGCCACCAGAUCAUCACCCCUACCUUACCGGAGAGCUGCAUCUGCACAGUUACCCUGCCCCCGUGAAUACCAGUACCACCUCCACCACCAUCUUUGCCACAGAUCAACAGCAAUACCAUUAUCUGAUUUAAAGAAUUACAAACCAUCUUCAUGCCCUACACAAAAUUCUAGUACCUCAGUGUCACAUUUACCUUGCUCUUAUUUCAAGGCAAGGUCAGAUGCCAUAGCUGCUAAAUCUUCUGAUUCUGAAACUCUUCUGGACCCUGAUCACAAUCCUGAGGAUUCACUGAACCCUUGUUUUUGGGCACAGACUCCUUCAGUCAUUGACUACAUUCCCAAGAUUUUAAAGAGCCAUGGCCAUUCAGGGCUACCAUACUUCAGCCAUCAGCUUCCACCUUCAUUUCUGUCUCUCCCCUUCCACCUAUGUCCAUCACCAUCAUCUAUGUCUUCACCACCUAAGUCUUCUCCACCACUACAACCAUCAUCCCCCCCAAAGCAGCCUCAGUCUCAGCUUCAGUCCCAACCUCAGUCUCCACCUUUAUGUUAUCAUUUACCUUUGCCUCAACCUGUACCUCCAAAGCCAUCUUUCACUGAUCGGAGGGUCAAGAAACAGGCAAAACUUCCUGCUCAUGUAGAACGUAGGGCCAAGACAGCAUCUUUAAUAACUUCAUUGCACCCAAUUUGUCCCCAAAGUGCCUCAGUUGUGCGAGGAAGCCACCCUAAAGCCCCACCAGCUCAAGGGCAUCAAAUGAAGACUUCUGCCCUUGUAGGAUGUCUCCACCUACAACGUAAAGGCAGGAUUUUGUCACCUUCACCUGAACAUCAUUCUAGGCUCACAGCUUUGAAAACAACCAACUUGUCCAAGAACAAAACUUCCAAGGCAUAACAUCCUGACCCUUUUCCUGAGGAUACAACUACAAUGUUAGGAUUCUUAGACCAUACUUAUGGGCUUCAAAAUCAGACACAAGUGACAAAGAUGCAUAGAAGAGCAAUCCCUUCAUGCUUCAUCACUGCAUCUUCGUUACUUCACAAAUACUAUACCAGGGUCACAAAUGUAUGUGCACCAUACUCCAUCUACUGUGUUCUAGAUAGGCACAGGUCAUCUAAUCAUCUUACCAUCAGGGUAGAGCAGCAGCUAUACCACCACCAGUUUGAACCAUGGAACCUUUUAAUUAUUAGUAUCUAUCUAUGCCUGGAAUAUAGGGCCAAGGUUAACUUGACACUUUUCAUAGUUUCAUUUCGUAAUGGUUAAGGCUCCACUAUGCCCUGAUUAUAAUGCCAACUAUAAAACUGAGCCAUAACAAUACCCUGAUCACCAAGUUGUACCUCAACUAGUUCUGACCAUUGAACUGAAAUUUUCAUGGAGUUCAACCACCAAACCCUAAUAACAUCAAUAUACUCGGGCAUUUGGCUUGAAGCAAUUGCCGUCUCAAAAGCCCAAGCCAUAACAUUAACUCGAGUCUAAAUAGGGUUUUGAGCAAUGCAAGGCUUUGCUGAGUCUAGAUAAUGGGGGAAGGGACCUGUUACUUUGAUAUUACCCUAUUUAUUAAUUUUAUCAACACAACUCAUUUGGACAUAGGCCAAAAAACUGAGCUUGCUCUGGACACUAAAAAAUGAGGCCAUAUAAAAAAUGGGGCUGGGAAGUUGGGCAAAGAAUUCCUUUUGUUUUGGUGACUAGAACUGUUCUUUCACUGAGUCCCCCACAUUAGAUUCAGACUGGUUGGGACAGUGACUCAGGCCAUAUCUCUAUGAGGCUUGGAUGGACUGGAGAGGCUUUAUAGAGUCCCAAUUGCCAGAGUACAGUGAUACAGUGCCAGGACUGCCAUGCCACACCUUUACUAGGUCCUAAACAUUUGGACAAAUUGCCACGAGAAUUAGGCCAGCAAGCUGAGAGUAUUCAGGAUUCUGUCUUCUGGAUGUUGUCUUCACUAGAUUCUGAGCAUCAAGUUAAAGAGUCCUUUGAACUACCAAUUCUCAGAAUGCAGAUUCACUGGACCGGGAUUACUGGAACAAGGCUGCAUAGGGUCAUUCAGGCCACAAAGCUCUGCCCUUCCCAGGCCAAGAUUUAAAUAAAGACCAUACCUAACACCAAGUGUUCUGCACAGCCGACAGAUAUUUCUCCAGGCUUAGAUGUACUCUAGUUCACAUUUCCUGAAUCACCAAGAUAUUUAAUAGGUCUUGAGUAUGAGGGUGGGUUGUUUUGAUCGACAUCAAUAGGAAAUACCUUUUGUGGUCCUAAACUAUUUAGUGCAUUAUUAUUAUUAUUAUUAUUUUAUUAUUUUUGCUGAGGCAAUUGAGGUUAAGUGACUUGCCCAGGGUCACACAGCUAGGAAGUAUUAAGUAUCUGAGAUCAGAUUUGAACCCAGGUUGUCCUGACUUCAGGGCUGGUGCUCUAUCUACUGUACCACCUAGCUGCUCCUAGUGCAUGAUUUUAAGGUUUCUACACUGGGGGAAAUUGCCACCAAACCCAAGAUUUCUUGAUCACACCUCUGUUCAACCCAGAUACUAGAAUAUCUUAAUCCUGCCUUGAUAAGUGUUUUAAUGCCUAGGCCACACUUCUAACAUGCCUAUGUGCCUGGGAAGCAAUGCUACCAGUUCUACAUGAUACCAGAAAUUCAACUCUAUUCCCUGACACCCUAUCUCUUCAAAUUCUUGUCCCCUUAUGUCACAUCCAAACAACCCAUUGAAGAGACCCAACUCCUAAGUGUGAAUCAUCAAGUGACACUUCAGGUCUACCAUGCUGCUUCUCAUUUCACACAUUCACCUAGUCUUGAUCACCAGACUAUGGAUAUUUUGGAAUCCUAUUGUAUGGAUUACAUUUUAACCAUUUCUAAACCACUAAGAUAUAUAAUAACCCUCUGACUUAGACCCACAAGCUCCCAAAAUCACUGGAUAGUGCUACUUUGGGUUAUAGAUCAUCGGUUACAUGACUUUACCCAGUCCCAAGAUGCUAUAUUAGUUUUUAGUGUUCAGACCACACUUCUAACCUG
Molecule: long non-coding RNA, 3307 nt
Organism: Sarcophilus harrisii (Tasmanian devil)
Lineage: Eukaryota; Metazoa; Chordata; Mammalia; Dasyuromorphia; Dasyuridae
Source: Ensembl